Molecule: long non-coding RNA, 5486 nt
Filed under: Homo sapiens (human)
Lineage: Eukaryota; Metazoa; Chordata; Mammalia; Primates; Hominidae
Description: HSALNT0117355
Source: RNAcentral
CGGGGUUAAAGAAUCCUUAUAGAAAGAAAACUUAGAUCAGAUGUGCUACAGCUAUUCUGGGUAUGCUAAAGAUUAAUAAAUAAAUAAAUAAAUGGCAAGAGCGUUCUUUCAACACCUGGGCUGUGAUCUCUGAUGGAAGUCUGCAGUGUGUGAACCAAGGAAAAUUCCACAGACAGAAAUGAGCAUUUUAUGGCAACUCUAUCAGGUAUUAAAUAUAAACUCUAAACCAAGAAACAAACAUUAAGCUGGUAAAAAGGUCAUAGCUUGAAAGGGCUGACUGACUCAAAACAUAAACAUUUCCCUUUUGGUUUCAACUUCUUCAGUUAACUGCUCUGUUCUAAGGGUUUCUCUGCCAUCCAGAAUGAAUGGUGCUCUCCCAGGCGUCUGGGUUUAGGGACGCGUGUGCACAGCACCGAGCAGCGUGAGCCGGUGCUCUCCCAGGCAUCUGGGAUUAGGGACGCGUGUGCACAGCACCGAGCAGCGUGAGCCUGUGUUCUCCCAGGCAUCUGGGAUUAGGGACGCGUGUGCACAGCACAGAGCAGCGUGAGCCUGUGUUCUCCCAGGCGUCUGGGAUUAGGGACGCGUGUGCACAGCACCGAGCAGCGUGAGCCUGUGUUCUCCCAGGCGUCUGGGUUUAGGGACGCGUGUGCACAGCACCGAGCAGCGUGAGCCUGUGCUCUCCCAGGCAUCUGGGAUUAGGGACGCGUGUGCACAGCACCGAGCAGCGUGAGCCUGUGUUCUCCCAGGCGUCUGGGUUUAGGGACGCGUGUGCACAGCACCGAGCAGCGUGAGCCUGUGCUCUCCCAGGCAUCUGGGAUUAGGGACGCGUGUGCACAGCACCGAGCAGCGUGAGCCUGUGUUCUCCCAGGCGUCUGGGUUUAGGGACGCGUGUGCACAGCACCGAGCAGCGUGAGCCUGUGUUCUCCCAGGCGUCUGGGUUUAGGGACGCGUGUGCACAGCACCGAGCAGCGUGAGCCUGUGUUCUCCCGGGCGUCUGGGUUUAGGGACGCGUGUGCAAAGCACAAAGUGGCAUUCCCCGCUUGCUCUACACGGAAACAGGCACUUCCUCCUCUUCUCUAGGGGGUUACCGAAACCCCUGUGCCAAGCACUCAGACUUCUAUUUCUUACCAAGCAGGCGCUCCUCCUUCCUCUCCAUGUUCCCAUCUGGCUAGUCCAGAUUUUCGGUUCACAUUCGAACGCCUCAAAAGAUGAUCUCACUGUCUCUCCUGCCUCACCACUCAUCCGUAACCAAACCACUCCAAUCAGCCUCCGCUCCUCCAAUCUCCUGGAAUUGUUCUCAACAAGGUGAGCAGUGACCAAGGUUCAGGCCCAGUGGGUACUUACCGGUCUUUUCUUGCAUACCGCUCUGCUGCACGUGGUCAUCCCCGCAUGCCAGCGCUCUCUGCUCUACCAUUCCUCUAACGCCCCGCUGCCCGCCUCCCCCCCACCCCCGUGUUCCUCGACACUAUGAUCUCUGUGUUCACUGUCUUUCUGCUGGUCCUUCAAUGAAGGUGUUAUUCCCCUUGGCUUACUGUCCUUAUCACACUAUAUGUGUAUCUCUCAACUGAACCUCAUUCUUAUCUAUUUACAAAGACAUAUGUCUUAUGCUUCCCAAAUCUUCAAUGCCAAACUCUCUUACAAGCUUCACACUUCCAGAUCUGUCUGGAAACAGAUCUCAUACACAGUCCUCACAAAGCUGACUUCAUCACCUCCUCCCCUUGUCUGUUAACCUACCUUAGAGACCCGAACUAGAGAAAUAGUAACCACACUAGGGCCUCCUCCUUGUAUCUCAUGCUGUAAUAAUGAUGAGGGCCUAGCAAUUUCACUUCCUGAACAUGACCUGCCAUCUCUCUCUUCAUCUCCACCUCCAGUUCUGCUGUCCCAGGUAAUUCAUUACAGCUCCCCGUGUAUCUGGGCAAGGCUCCUCACUGAAUUCUCUGGCCUUUUUAGGGCCACCCAUCUGUGGCUCCCAAACACCCCAGGGAAUUUCUAUGCUCUCUCUUCACAAACAGUCCCGCUCCUUCCCUUGUUCUUACCUCUGACUCAUUAAAUCCUACCCACCCUUUAUCGAUCUAGUCCAGAAGUCACUUCCUCCUUGGAGUCUCUGAGACAUCUUCUAUGCCCAGACGGGGACCAUCCCUCGUCCCUGCAUCCCGCCGUGCCCUGUGCGUCUCCUAUGCAGUUCUCGCCCGCUGUACUUACUUUCUUAGGACUCUGAGCUCUCUGAAGGACCUCCUUGCCAUAUCUUCUCUGUACCCCUCCUCACAAGUCUGGCACAUCACAGGAAUUCAAAUUUCUACUGAAUAAAUGAGUUUGCUGAUUAAAUAUCAGAACAUGAUAUACUGAUUCUUUAUCAACUGGGGCUGCUCAAUUAAUGAAUGAGUGGAAGUGUCUUUAUAGGGAAAUAUGCUGAUUCCAUUUUAGAACACAAUGCUUAUUUGCAAGGACACAAUUAUUAACUUACUGUGUAAUAGGCCAAGAUUCUUACUCAACAUACGUCCUUUGUAGGCAAAAGCAAACCACAAUAAGCCUACCCUGACCUGAGACGCUUGUUGUUAAGAACAACAGAUAACCUGAGAACUGUGUUUUGCCAACAGUCAGUUUCCACCCUGAAGGAAUGGACUUCACAAGGCCUUUGCUUUGUGAGGCCCUGUUGCCUAUGUGCUGUGUGAUUACAAACAUUCCACAGUCGGUUAUUUAGAAAGAUACUGAAAUUGCGGAACUCUGUGCUGACACACUGAUUACAGCAACAACCACAGAUUGGACCUACUUCAUAUGAACACUUUAACCACCAGCUUAGGGACCAUCCCUGAGUUACAGCAGAGGGAGCCCUGAACUGGAAGCCCCAGCUCUCUCACCACCUGGCCAAGGGGCUGAAAGCAGGUGAUGCCACUUCUGUGGGUUGUGGUGAUCUCAUCUGUGCAAUGAAGAACUGGAUUUGGUUCAGCUCAGUCACCAACAGCUGACAACUACUGAACCAAGUGCAAAUGUGGAAGUCCUAUCCUCAAGAAAUUAAAGUAUAAUGGAAAUAAAGACAGAUGGCACCAAACUAUCAUCUACUGAUGUGCUCUGACGGCCCUUCACGGGUAAAGCUGCUAUGACAUGCUGCAACAAGGACAGGUGAAUACUCCUUAGGAAUGUAAAGUGACAUCACCCGUUCAUCUAACAGAUGCCAUCCUGGGUCAGACACCCGACCAACAAUGCCCUAUUCAUGGCACUAACACUGAGUGAAGGGAAGAAGAAAGGUGAUUAUUUCCCAUACUGAAAACUGAAAAGUUUGCUCUUGAAAAUAACCUGGCCUAAAUGACAAGACGUGUUCAUUCUUAGAAGUCAGGGUGUGCUCUGAACGAGUGUUACGUGUGGGUAAGUUUUUCAGUGAAAGAAAGCCUCAACGAGUCAAUAAUAAACAUUAAACAAUUCUGUUCCAAGCAGGAACUUGCAAACUCCUGGUGCAAGAGCAUCAAGAAGCAAUGAGAUCUCGUCUCGGGCAGAGUAAAUGGCUGAAAUGGAACUUGCUGGGUCCACACCAGUUCACCCUGUUCUUCCUAAAUACACCGACUUCUGUCAGGUUCAUUCAAGCUAAAAGUCAACCAAACUUUCCAUGCUCCCAUUUCACAAUUUACGUAUAAUUUACCUCUUUUAUUUCUCUACCUCAAAGAAUUACACAUAUGAUCAAAUCCAAAAUGGGCAAAACAACCAAUGGAGGAUUUGAGGGGCGAGGAGCCAGUAGGACACAACCUGAGACGUGCUCUUGCCAAGUCAGAGAACUUACUGCGCGGAGUGGUGUCAGGACCAGAGGGGAAGUUUAACCCAAGAUGCUUUUUAUAGACAUUCAGUUUCCUCAACAAGGCUUUCUUUUGCUGCUACUCUAAGCAGAAGUGAGGGUAAAAAAUCCAGGUAGAACUGAGGAAUGAUCUGGCAUGCCAGCAGCACCGUGUAAACAAUCCAGGUAGAACUGAGGAAUGAUCUGGCAUGCCAGCAGCACCAUGUUGGUGCUGGGGGCUCUGGGAUGCUGGGUUUGCAUAUUCUGUGAUUUGGUACCUGGGCAUUUAUAUCCGGCAUCAACAAGAACACCUAUGCUCUUUUCCUGUGCUUCUGGAGGUCUGGGAGACAGAAGAUACUAUUUUAAAAGUGUGUUCAUUGCAAAAUUCUUAUUUCCCAGAUAAUAUACUGUAAAAGUGCUUCUCAGGCCUGUUUGCCUUGUGCUUUUACUUUUCUAAUUAUAACGUAAGCUUUAUAAAGUAAAUUACACCUCUUCUCGGCAAAUUUCUGUUAGGAGGUCCAUACCAAAAACACUGUGCGGUAACCUUGGGACUUGUGAAAAGCUUGGUAACAAAGACCAAUUUUCAAAUUACUAAUCAAACAGAAAAAACAACUAAUUUAAGCUAACUGGAGUUACAUUGGGAGACAGAACAUUUUCACAGCCUGCAGGAGUAAAAUCUGAGGAUCUGAGGUUAUCUUUUCAGCAACAGAGAAAGUCACCUGGUGACUCUCCUUCCCUAAGGAACUCUGGAAUUUAGGGAACAUUCUGGGAGCCCAAGUCAGCGUGACAGAGGGUUGGCCCCAGGUCUAAGGCUCACAUCACCACUUCAAUAUGAUUGAAAGGUAUGGCCUUUGGCUUGUCCAACCCAAUGAAUAAAAUUCGUAAAUAAAAGUAGCCUGUAUUUUGGAAAUAGGGUUUAAGGUGCUCUGGAAUAAAAGACAAGGAAAGCUGAGCUCUUCCUGCUGAGGCCAUAGAGUCCAGGGUCCCAGGGCAUCUGAUGGGAACCAGGAAACUGGAAAAACCAGUUCUUAAAGUUCCUAAAACCUGACAGUAAAUAUUGAACAGUAAACAGCUCAACUGUUUUUGUGUUUAUAUGCUAAGGAAGGUUCAUUUACUAGGGUUUAUUGGCAGUUAUGUAAAAUGAUACUUGUAUGAACAAAACUGCUAUUUUAAGUUUCAGAUAUUGCUUCAUCAGGGUGCUUGUCCUACAAGUUGGCGGAAAUCUAAACAGAGGGAAAACAUUAUGAAUACAUUGUUAUUUAUUAGUAAACAAAACAGCAAAAAUAAACUGAUUUUCUUUGGUCCAAAAGGCCUAGUUUGAUUUUAUAACUAAAAUUCUUUCUCUUCACUAGAAGUCUUCCGAUUGUAGUUGGGCACAGUCUUACAGAACGUAAGCGAGCGCCAGUGCAGCUUCUACUCAUGUCCAGCUACUCCUCAGCCUCCUUUAGCAGGGGCAGGAGGAGCCAAAACCUCCCAUGUUGGUAAAGAUGCUCCAUGAGGGCAGAACCCACCAACCCAGCAGCACUGCAGUUAACACCUGCACUCAUCUGAGAUUCCCAUGCUGUAUCUGACAGCUGUCUAAAAGCCCACACAGUAUUUACCUAAGGAAACAGCAUGGCUCUGAGUUACAACUGUCAGUUCAUAAAAUUAGACUAUCUUCUAAGAACGCGCUCACAUUCAAAGAAUCACAGAGCCGGAUGAGACAGGAGCACAGCCAGGCAAG